Molecule: ribosomal RNA, 484 nt
Filed under: uncultured bacterium
Lineage: Bacteria
Description: partial 16S ribosomal RNA
Rfam family: Bacterial small subunit ribosomal RNA
Source: RNAcentral
AUUGAACGCUGGCGGCAGGCCUAACACAUGCGAGUCGAGCGGAUGAAGGGAGCUUGCUCCUGGAUUCAGCGGCGGACGGGUGAGUAAUGCCUAGGAAUCUGCCUGGUAGUGGGGGAUAACGUCCGGAAACGGGCGCUAAUACCGCAUACGUCCUGAGGGAGAAAGUGGGGGAUCUUCGGACCUCACGCUAUCAGAUGAGCCUAGGACGGAUUAGCUAGUUGGUGGGGUAAAGGCCUACCAAGGCGACGAUCCGUAACUGGUCUGAGAGGAUGAUCAGUCACACUGGAACUGAGACACGGUCCAGACUCCUACGGGAGGCAGCAGUGGGGAAUAUUGGACAAUGGGCGAAAGCCUGAUCCAGCCAUGCCGCGUGUGUGAAGAAGGUCUUCGGAUUGUAAAGCACUUUAAGUUGGGAGGAAGGGCAGUAAGUUAAUACCUUGCUGUUUUGACGUUACCAACAGAAUAAGCACCGGCUAACUUCGUG